Molecule: unclassified non-coding RNA, 391 nt
Filed under: soil metagenome
Description: partial contains 5.8S ribosomal RNA, internal transcribed spacer 2, and large subunit ribosomal RNA
Rfam family: 5.8S ribosomal RNA (bases 1-122)
Source: RNAcentral
GAUGAAGAACGGAGCGAAAUGCGAUACUUGGUGUGAAUUGCAGAAUCCCGUGAACCAUCGAGUCUUUGAACGCAAGUUGCGCCCGAAGCCAUUAGGCCGAGGGCACGCCUGCCUGGGCGUCACACGUCGUUGCCCCCCCAUCUACUCCUUCGGGAUUGCGGGGGGCGGAUGAUGGCCUCCCGUGCGCCUCGCCGCGCGGUUGGCAUAAAUGCCAAGUCCUCGGCGACGCACGCCACGACAAUCGGUGGUUGCGAAACCUCGGUUGCCCGUCGUGUGCGGUCGUCGCGCAUCGAGGGCUCGAAAAAAUUGCCGGGUUCCGGCUCGGCUUUCAACGCGACCCCAGGUCAGGCGGGGUUACCCGCUGAAUUUAAGCAUAUCAAUAAGCGGAGGA